RNAcentral lists this ribosomal RNA (251 nucleotides) under uncultured prokaryote. Its description in RNAcentral is "partial 16S ribosomal RNA". It matches the Rfam family "Bacterial small subunit ribosomal RNA", at positions 524 to 774 of the family's 1533-position model. The record is from RNAcentral.
UACGGAGGAUGCGAGCGUUAUCCGGAUUUAUUGGGUUUAAAGGGUGCGCAGGUUGUUUGAUAAGUCAGUGGUGAAAGUCUGUCGCUUAACGGUAGGAUUGCCAUUGAUACUGUUGGACUUGAAUAUGGAUGAGGUAGGCGGAAUGUGUAGUGUAGCGGUGAAAUGCAUAGAUAUUACACAGAACACCGAUUGCGAAGGCAGCUUACUAAUCCAUCAUUGACGCUGAGGCACAAAAGCGUGGGGAUCAAACA